ACACAUAAAAAAUAUAAAAAAAUCUUCGAUGUUUAAGGUAAUAGAAGAUAAAGCAGUAAUUGUUGAAGGAUAAAUUGUUUCCAGGUUUAGUUUAGUUAGUUAGUUAGUUGGACAGGUGUAUGGCUCAUAUGCCAUCACAUAUUGUUGGACUAACAUGUCCAGAUUCAUGCCAAGUGUACAGCUCACAUGCUGGUACAAAUGUAUUGGCUGAGUCAUUUUCUGUACUAGCUAAAAUAUAUAUAUUGAAAGUAGGAUGAGAUCACACAAUGAGUGUGUGCAUGAUUACAUUCUUUUUGCCUAACAGAUUCUCUCCCUCUCCUUUCUCCCUAAAACCUUUUCUCAUACACUUUCUGUGCAUGAACCUCUACUAUUCUAUAGAAACUUCAACAUGGUAUCAGUAGCAAAGGUUCUGAUCUGAGACUGGGCGUAGUGAAAUCACAAUCCAGCUGAAGGAAGCAUUAUCUAGUCUCACAUGGCUGGAUCUAGCAUGAGUGAGCUUCGUGCUCCCAUCUUCAAUGGAAGCAACUACGAUUUCUGGAGAAUAAAGAUGUGCACAAUCUUCAAAUCUCACAAGCUGUGGGAUAUGGUUGAGAAUGGAUAUGGGCAACCUGUGAAGAUGGAAGAAGGAGAAACUCUGACAGCAGCUGUGGAAGAAAAUAUUGCAAAAGAUGCUAAGGCAUUGGGUCUGAUCCAGAAUGCAGUUUCUGAUGAUAUUUUUCCCAGAAUUGCUUUGAAGGAAUCAGCCAAGGAAGCAUGGGAAAUCCUGCAGCAAGAAUUCAGAGGAGACAAGAAGGUAAGAUCUGUGAAACUUCAAGCUCUUAGGAGAGAAUUUGAAUACACUCGUAUGCAUGAUGAUGAAUCAUUGUCUGGAUAUGUCACUAAACUGCUUGAGCUAGUAAACCAAAUAAAGGCUUAUGGUGAAGAGUUAACUGAACAGAGAAUUGUUCAGAAACUCUUGAUUAGUUUAUCCAGAGAAUAUGAUUCCAUUGCUGAGGUUAUAGAGGAGACAAAAGAUACAGAAACUAUAGGGGUUCAAGAGGUUAUAGGCUCUCUAAAAUCUCAUGAACAAAGGCUGCAGAGGCAUAAUGAGAGAGUGACUGAGAAGGCUUUCUCUAGUUUGAAUGUGAGCUCUAAAGAUCAGUCUAACACAGGGCAGGCAGGGGGUUCCAAAUCCAAAAAGAAUUGGAAAUCUCAGAAAGGGAAGAAGUGGGACUCAAAGUCUGAAAAUAAUUUUAAAAAGGAAAGUCAGACUGAGGGAGCAAAGGUGCCUUGCAAAACCUGUGACAAAUUGCACUAUGGUGUCUGCUGGUUCAAAGGCAAACGUAAAUGUUAUAAAUGUGAUAGGUUUGGUCAUAUAGCCAAAGACUGCAAGGGAAAACCAGAAGCUGCUAACUAUGCAUCACACAAGGAGGAAGAAGGCAACAUGUUCUAUGCUUGUCAUGCUGCUGCAAUAGUAAAAAAUAAUGGUGUGUGGUAUGUGGACAGUGCAUGCAGCAACCACAUGACUUCACAAGCAUCCCUUCUAGUCAAUAUUGACACCAAAGUCACUGCAAAGGUAAAAAUGGGCACUAGAGACUUAGUGGAAGCAACUGGAAAAGGAACUUUGGUGAUUGACACUAAAGCUGGGCCUAGAUAUAUCAAAGAGGUUAUGCUUGUACCAGGAUUGGAUGAAAACUUACUUAGUGUAGGUCAAAUGGUAGAGCAUGGCUACUAUCUUGUCUUUGGUGAUUCUAUGGUUGAAAUAUUUGAUGACAGGUCAAUGGAGAAUCUGCUUGCAAAGGUUUCCAUGACAGGAAACAGAUGCUUCCCACUGUCAUUGAAAUAUGCAAACUCAGUGGCUAUGAAAGCAACAGUUGAAGAAUCCACUUCGUGUUGGCAUAGGAGGUUUGGCCAUUUGAAUAUGCAGAGUCUGAAGUUGUUACAACAACAGGAGCUGGUCUAUGGUCUGCCUGAAAUUGGAAAUGCAAACAGAAUUUGCCAAGACUGUGCAAUUGGAAAAUCCCACAGAGAGGCCUUUGGCAAAGAGAAAAUUUGGAGAGCUAGUUUACCUCUGGAGCUGGUUCAUUCAGAUGUUUGUCGUCCAAUGCAGACCACAUUAAUAGGUGGAAACAAAUAUUUUUUGACUUUCAUUGAUGACUGCACCAGAAUGUGCUGGGUGUACUUCAUGCAAUUCAAGUCAGAAGUUUUUAACAUCUUCAAGAAAUUUAAGGCUAUGGUAGAAUUACAAAGUGGCUACAAACUGAAGAAACUUAGGAGUGACAGAGGUGGGGAAUAUACCUCUGCUGAAUUUCUGCAGUUUUGUGAAGAAAUUGGUUUGGAAAGACAACUAACCGUGGCCUAUUCACCUCAGCAAAAUGGAGUUGCUGAGAGAAAGAACAGGACCAUUGUUGAGAUGAGCAAGACAAUGAUGAAAGAGAAGAAACUACCAUACAAAUUUUGGGGAGAGGCAUUGAAUACAGCUGUCUAUAUUCAGAAUAGAUGCCCCACAAAAGCUUUAGAUAAUGUCACUUCAUUUGAAGCUUUUAGUGGAAGAAAGCCUGGGGUUAAACACUUAAGAGUGCUUGGUUCUAUAUGUUUCUGUCAUGUGCCUAAUUAGUUGAGGUCUAAGCUGGAAGAUGCAGCUGUUAAGUGCAUUUUUGUUGGCUAUGGCAAAUGUGAAAAGGGGUACAAAGUGUACAAUUUGCAAACCAACAAGAUCACUACAUCUAGAAGUGUGAUCUUUGAUGAGAACUCACUAUGGGAUUGGGACAAGCAAAUUGUUGAUUCUGUCACAGUUCAGAUGAGGCUUGAAGACACUUCUAGAAGUAGUGAAAAGGAGCAUGAAGAAACAAUGAUAGACAUUUCCAGUCCACCUCAAGUAACUGCAGCUGCUACAAAUGUUACUUCACCAAGUGAUUCUCCAAGUUCUACACCUGUAAAGCUUAGAGACAUCACUGAGAUUUAUGCUAGAUGCAAUAUGAGCAUCAUUGAGCCAGAGAAUUUUGCAGAAGCAUCAAAGGAUAAGGCUUGGCAAAAGGCAAUGGAAGCAGAAAUGGAAAUGAUUGAGCAAAAUGAGACUUGGGAACUAGUAGAUAGACCAAGUGAUAAACCUGUGAUUGGUGUGAAAUGGGUUUAUAAGACCAAAUUGAACCUUGAUGGCUCAAUACAGAAGCAUAAAGCAAGGCUGGUGGUCAAAGGCUAUGCACAAAAGCCUGGAAUCGACUUCAAUGAGACUUUUGCUCCUGUGGCCAGACUUGACACAAUUAGAACUCUCAUAGCUUUGGCAGCUCAAAAGGGGUGGAAAUUAUACCAGUUAGAUGUCAAGUCUGCAUUCCUAAAUGGUGUGCUUAAGGAGGAAGUUUAUGUAGACCAACCGGAUGGAUUUGUAACUACAAACUAUGAAGACAAGGUGUACAAGUUGAAGAAAGCCUUGUAUGGUUUGAAACAGGCUCCAAGAGCCUGGUAUGAGGAAAUCAAUGCCUAUCUUGUUAGCUGUGGUUAUGUCAGAAGCACAAGUGAGGCUACAUUGUAUUGCAAGACUAAGGAAGACUCUGGAACUCUAAUAGUCUCAAUCUAUGUUGAUGACAUUGUGUAUACAGGCAGCAGUGAAGAAUUAAUUGAUGAAUUUCAAGACUGAAAUGAUGAGAAGGUAUGAAAUGACUGAUUUAGGCCUUUUAUAUCAUUUCCUUGGUAUGGCAGUGAUUCAAACUGAAUCCUGCAUUUUCAUAAAUCAAAAGAAGUAUGCUCUGACGUUGCUGGACAAGUUUGGUUUGAAGCAAUGUAAGCCAGUUAGUACUCCUCUAGUGGCAACUAAAAAAUUGUGCAAAGAUGAUGGAAGUGAUCCUGCAGAUGAGAGUGAGUACAGACAGAUUGUGGGUAACCUAUUGUAUUUGACAACUACAAGACCAGACAUAAUGUUUGCAGCUAGCCUAUUAGCUAGAUUCAUGCAUUGUCCAACAAAGAAACACUAUGGAACGGCCAAGAGAGUGCUGAGGUAUAUUCAAGGCACCAUUGAUUUUGGUAUUGAAUAUCAGAAAGGAAAAGAAGCCAUCCUAAUUGGAUAUUGUGACAGUGAUUGGGGUGGAAGCCAAGAUGACAUGAGAAGCACCUCUGGCUAUGCUUUCUCUUUUGGCAGUGGAGUAUUUUCUUGGGCAUUAGUCAAGCAACAUAGUGUUGCUCUCUCCACGGCUGAGGCUGAGUAUGUCAGUGCAAGUGAAGCUACUACACAAGCAAUAUGGUUGAGGUUUGUUCUAGAAGAUUUUGGAGAAUUGCAAACUGAUGCAACUCCAUUAAUGGUUGACAACACUUCUGCCAUUGCAAUGACAAGAAAUCCGGUUUUCCAUCAGAAAACCAAGCACAUCAACCGCAGGUAUCAUUUCAUCCGAGAUGCUCUACAAGAUGGAGUUGUGGAUUUGAGAUACUGCAGGUCUGAAGAACAAGUGGCUGACAUCUUCACUAAAGCUCUAUCUAAAGAUCGGUUUAACUAUCUUAGAGGAUUGCUUGGAGUUAAACCUGUUAACAAUUUAGAAGGGAGUGUUGAAGGAUAAAUUGUUUCCAGGUUUAGUUUAGUUAGUUAGUUAGUUGGACAGGUGUAUGGCUCAUAUGCCAUCACAUAUUGUUGGACUAACAUGUCCAGAUUCAUGCCAAGUGUACAGCUCACAUGCUGGUACAAAUGUAUUGGCU
Molecule: long non-coding RNA, 4662 nt
Filed under: Prunus persica (peach)
Lineage: Eukaryota; Viridiplantae; Streptophyta; Magnoliopsida; Rosales; Rosaceae
Description: long non-coding RNA (PPER_LNC006983)
Source: RNAcentral